AACACUGUUAACCUGCGGUACCUGCGGAGGGAUCAUUAACGUUACCUCAUCCAACCUUGCUGCCGGUCGCUCGCGAGGGCGGCCGGCAACAAGCACCCGUGACAUGUUGAAGUCCUUGAUCGCAUCCGAUCCUCUCGGAUGCGGUUAAAGCAACCUUUUACAGUUAUGCCUAAUCACGAGCUCCUCUCCGAGGAGCGCAAUCGAUCAAUCAAGACACAACUUUCAACAAUGGAUCUCAGA
RNAcentral lists this unclassified non-coding RNA (240 nucleotides) under soil metagenome. RNAcentral describes it as "partial contains 5.8S ribosomal RNA, internal transcribed spacer 2, and large subunit ribosomal RNA". The record is from RNAcentral.